GACGAACGCUGGCGGCGUGCCUAAUACAUGCAAGUAGAACGCACAGUUUAUACCGUAGCUUGCUACACCAUAGACUGUGAGUUGCGAACGGGUGAGUAACGCGUAGGUAACCUGCCUGGUAGCGGGGGAUAACUAUUGGAAACGAUAGCUAAUACCGCAUAAUAUUAAUUAUUGCAUGAUAAUUAAUUGAAAGGUGCAAUUGCACCACUACCAGAUGGACCUGCGUUGUAUUAGCUAGUAGGUGAGGUAACGGCUCACCUAGGCGACGAUACAUAGCCGACCUGAGAGGGUGAUCGGCCACACUGGGACUGAGACACGGUCCAGACUCCUACGGGAGGCAGCAGUAGGGAAUCUUCGGCAAUGGAUGAAAGUCUGACCGAGCAACGCCGCGUGAGUGAAGAAGGUUUUCGGAUCGUAAAGCUCUGUUGUAAGAGAAGAACGGGUGUGAGAGUGGAAAGUUCACACUGUGACGGUAUCUUACCAGAAAGGGACGGCUAACUACGUG
This 505-nucleotide ribosomal RNA is filed under the name uncultured bacterium. Its description in RNAcentral is "partial 16S ribosomal RNA". It matches the Rfam family "Bacterial small subunit ribosomal RNA", at positions 28 to 507 of the family's 1533-position model. The record is from RNAcentral.